Molecule: transfer RNA, 77 nt
Filed under: Dehalococcoidales bacterium
Lineage: Bacteria; Bacillati; Chloroflexota; Dehalococcoidia; Dehalococcoidales
Description: tRNA-Arg
Rfam family: tRNA
About the family: Transfer RNA (tRNA) molecules are approximately 80 nucleotides in length. Their secondary structure includes four short double-helical elements and three loops (D, anti-codon, and T loops).
Source: RNAcentral
GUCCCUGUAGCUCAGUUGGAUAGAGCGCCUGCCUUCUAAGCAGGAUGUCGUGGGUUCGAAUCCCUCCAGGGACGCCA